CCUCGCAAGGACUCCACCUUUUAGAGCUAAUUCACCGAGAGAAAAUGAGUGGAGAAGGAAAGGUGGUCUGUGUGACAGUAGGGUCUGGUUACAUAGCAUCCUGGCUAAUCAAAUUCUUGCUUCAAAGAGGCUACACUGUCAAAGCCACUGUUCGUGACCCAAGUAGAACUGGUUGAUCCUGCAGUGAAGGGAACACUUAAUGUUCUUAGAUCUUGUGUGAAAGUGCCUUCUAUCAAGAGAGUGAUUGUAACAUCUUCAUUUGCCGCUGUUCCUUACAGUGGAAAAACUCUCGCCCCUGAUGUAAUUGUUGAUGAGACUUGGUUUUCUAACCCAGCUGUUUGUGUGGAACGGAAGGAGCUCAAGAGUAUCCUGAUGCAUAUUAUAGAUAUGUUGAUGUAAGAGAUGUUGCAUAUGCACAUAUUCAAGCUUUGGAGAUUCCUUCAGCUUAGUGGCAGAUAUUGUUUAAUUGAGAGAGAUCUUCACUUCUCUGAGGUUCUGGAAGAUUGUGCAUCAACAUUAUCCUACAUUGCAACUUCCAGAAAAGAGUGGCCCUGGAUUGAAUUACUUAACAAAGUAUGGGAUAUCAAAGGAAAAAGCGAAAACUUUGGGUAUUGACUCCAUUCCUUUGGAGGUGAGUUUGAAGGACACUAUUAAAAGCUUGAAGAAGAAGGGCUUCCUUAGCAUUUGAUUUUGGCUGUUGGAUGGAAAGCAAGGAAAAUAUUACAUUGAACUUUCGGCUUCAUUGUCUUUAGCUCCCUACUGCAGCAAGAAAUUGUUGCUCUUCAAGAUUGUCUUCAUUUGAAAUAAGUGGACCAACACAUUUAAAAAUAAAUAUUAAUGUUUGUAUAUAUUGUGUAAAAUAAAUAAUAUUUCAUGUGUCA
RNA transcript from Hevea brasiliensis (rubber tree), 881 nucleotides. It is a transcript of the gene named phenylacetaldehyde reductase-like, with no coding region annotated. Lineage: Eukaryota; Viridiplantae; Streptophyta; Magnoliopsida; Malpighiales; Euphorbiaceae. The transcript has 4 exons. The record is from RefSeq and is a predicted model, not a curated record.